UCGCAGUAAAUAAGGAUGGUGGCACAAAAUACCGACCGCGGUAUUCUUGCAAAUUGAUAGAAGAAUAUAAUUAUUUUAAAGGAUCUCAUAGAGCUCGUGAAGUAGAUGCGCGAGAAAGAAUACUUUGUGAAUAGAAGUUAUAAUACUACAUUUAAAGUAAAGUAAGAGUUAUAGUUGUUGUGAGUUUCGUGUUUUGUUGUGUUACGUUACUUGUUACUUGGCGGUUUCUGAAAGGGAUAUAAUGUGCGGUAAUGUUUAGUAAGACUAUACUUUUGAUGAGUUGAAUUGAAAAGUUGUAGGUUGACUGACUUUUUGGAGUCUCUCGAUCUAUUCGCGAAAACAAUAAUGCGAUUAGAAAAGGGAAAUGGAAAGGAAAGAGUUUGAGUCAAAAUCGAAUAUGGAAAGAGAAGGAACGAUGCUUAUUGGUGGAGGAUGCGUUAGAAUAAUUUGUUGGGAAUGUUUAAACAAUUCCAUGUGUGCCAUUUUCUUCUGAUGAUAGUGUCGAUUGGCAGACACCAAAUGGGCACUUCAAAAAUAGACAUUAAUCUUUGAUUCUAAGAUAUUUAUUUGUUGCCUAGCUCGACUUAUUAUUAAAAACUACGUGCUUAACUAAAAUGCCUAAGCACGAACAAAGCUGGCAAUGUGUUUUUUAUCUAUGUAUUUUCUGAGCGAAUAUCCAACGAAUUUCUAAGGGCAGAUAUUCUAUAUAUUGAUAUAUGGCCCUUAGGAGAUAGUACUGGGACUUACUAUGCACAUGUGCAUCAACAUACUGGCUCCUUGAACGGUCGCGUUUAAAACAAAAGAGAAGAAAGACAUUCAUUGGAGAUUUACUAAGAUAUAGUGUUUGAUAUGAAGUAGUGAAUUAAUGAUUUAUCGUACUAUGCGUUCAUUCAUGUAUGAUAAUUUGUGUGUAUAAUAUGUAUCUGUCUUGUAUGAAUAAUUUAUAAGUUAAUGUGUGUUGCACUUAUAAGAUAAUGAAAUUAUAUAUAAUCAAGAUAUGUCUGCAUUUAGCUGUUAUCGGUAAGCAAAGGAUAAGGGCCCUUGAUGCUGCGUUUAUAGAUCUCAAUAGCCGUUUGAACCGAGGCUACCCGAACGAUGCCAGGAUGUGUAUCAAUGAUGCAACCUAUCGACCAGUAGUGCGUUGUCCUCCUUAAGGAGCAUGAGUGUGUCGAUCUUAAGAUCAUUUGUUCCCCCUCGAUGCCAUUUCCUCCUCGCCGUCAGCUCAUGAAAGCAGGACGAGACGAGAAAGAAAUUCUGUAACACAAGGAUAGAGCAAUGUUGGCGUUACAGAAAAAGAGGACAUUUUAAGAACUAGUAUCUGCAAUACUAAAAGAAGAAAAAGAAUUAUUUGAAGCUCAAAAGUGACACCGAGAAAACGAAAAUUCCUCACAGAUCCGUCAGCCUCACUUCAGGACAAUAGAUAUAGAGCAUUUUCAUUCGAUAAAAUCGAAUUUACGACGAUAAUAGGGGGGCUGAAAAUCGUAUAUGGCAAAAAUUAAUAUAGAUUCGUAUUGGGAACUUUAUUUAAGUCAGAAUGUACAUUUAGCGAACAUAGCAGAGAAUAUUAUAUUAGAUUCGAAUUUUAUUAAGAAGAAUAAUUGUAUAAUAGAUGUAAAAUUAAUGGGUGGGGAGGAAAAAAUACGUAUAGCAGGAAAACCAGUUAUUAUGAAGUAAAAAGAAGAAUUUAGAAAAAGGAAAAGAAUGGGAAGUACUUUAUUAUUUGAAAGGUUUGUUUUAAAGGAAUAUAGAAAAAAUUCGAGAGAAAGAGACGAAACAAAUAGAACAAAAUUCUUUAGAAAGGAUCAUUAAGAUAUUUUUAUCAAAUCUUCUUUUGAUAUAGGGAGACGUAAUGUUAGAUAGACACAGAUGAUUUUUUGCUAUUAAAUAAACACCUAAGAGGUUUCAAAUUCAUUAACAGUAGGAGAAACAGCACUUAAUUGCUGACAUGAAGGAAUAAGGAGUUUUAGAAAAAGCUACGGAGUCAAAUAGUUUGGUUUCGAAAAAGAAUAAAUCAACGAGCUGUUUUGGGGGUUAACAAGAAGUUGAACGGCAUUAUAAAGAAGCAUUCUUAUCUAUUUUUUUUUUUAUUAAAUAAAUUUGUUAUUAUUAGUAUAUGAUUAAAAGAAAUACAAUAUUAUUAAAAAAUUAGUUAUAAUAAAUUCUUUACAAUAAUAAUUGUAAUAUUACCAGUUUAUGAUUAUUAUUGGCGUGACACAGACAUUUUAAUGUAGAAAACAUGAAUUUUUAAUAGUUAAUAUUUUGUCACAAUUAACAAAAUGAUAUAUAUAUAUCAUCUCCUUUUUAUUAAAUUAUACCUUUUUAAGGAUAUUAUUUUUAUAAUACAUAUUUAUUUUAUUUAUUCUAUGGGAAACAUUUUAUGUUUAGAAAUAAUAUUUAUUUUUUUAAUAUUUAUUUUUUUUUAUAUUAGGAAACACAUUGUUAAAAAUAUGUUGUUUAUUUAUAUUAAAUACUAUUCAAAAGAAAUAAAAAAUUCAUUGAUUAUGAUACUUGAAACAUGGCACGGCGCGUAAUCAUCUUAUCUUGAAAACAUUUCAGCAACAGUAACUUGUUUCUUUCAUCUUUAUCUUUUUAAGAGAUAAGAAUUUGAUUAGUAAAUAUAACAGUACAGGUCCAUUUAAUACUCGUUUGCGUAUAAAAUUGUCAAUAAAGAGGACUCGUGUCGUCAAACAAAUAUUAGGUCUACUUACAAAGUAUUAUAUGUUAAAUGGUUAAUUGAAAAUUGGAUUUCAAUCGGUUAUCGAAAAGGAAGAUCGAUUUCUACAAACUUUCAUUAUUCUUUAUGUAUAAAAUAGUUAAUGAUCGGAUCGAUACUGAUAUUAUUGAUGAUAUCCAAGCAAUUCAAUAUCAAAGCACUCAAUGGGAAGAGUCGAUAUAUAUUAAAAUUGUAGGUAUUUGAUAUCAAUUUUCGAAACUGACAUACUUCAAUGAAUCGAUAUCAAGUUGAAAAGCGUUUAUAUCGGAUCAAUAUCCAUUUGAUGAUACCUAAUAAUAUUGAAUCAAUUUCCGUUUGAUGAUACCUAAUAAUAUUGAAUCAAUUUCCGUUUGAUGAUACCUAAUGAAAGUAUUGACACUCGUUUGAUACUUAUGUUUAAUAUUGUUUUUUAUUAAAUAAAUUUUUUAUUAAAUAAAUUUUUUAUUAAAUAAAUAAUAAUAUAAUUUAAUAAAAAGGAGAUGAUGUUUAAUAUUGACACAGAAACAAACGAAUAGCGAUUUUUUGGAUUAACGAACGAAAAUCUGAAAGAUGAAAGACUGAAAGACAAAUCGUCUUUAUAUUUUCAUAGAAGUACGGAACGGGUAUUAAUACUUCCACAGAUGUAUCGAUAGCCGUAUAAAUAUUCGUGAUACAGCAAAGAAAAUAAAAAUAUUAACAGUUUUUCUAUUAUUUCCUGAGAUAUACAAACUUUCUCUCGUUUGUACAUUUGCUCGACAAUGUCAAUACUCGAUAAUAUUCAACUACUCUAUUUUACUCUCUUGUACUCUUUAUUGUUUUCUACUCUCUGCUCUGAUCUCUUGUAUUCUCUGCUUUCUCUGCAUUGAUACCUAGUCUCUCAUAUUAGUUACCGCUUCUUUCUUUCGUUCCCUUAUUAUCGCUUUCUUGUAUCCAGAUAUAUCUUUUAGGACUUUUCAAACAAAGUCCUAGACAUCAUGUAAUCUCCUCACGUGCAUCUCUAUCGGUCAUAUACUCUCGCUUACAUACCGCUCAUGUCAUUUAUAUUACUAGUAUUACGUUUCUAUCUUAUAGAUACUAAUCUUAGCACUCUUUCGAUAUACACACACACGCGCGCAUACACGUGAAUAUUUUCAUAACAUAAUACUUACGACUUAGAAUUAGUAUUCGAUAGGAUAUCAUGAUUUGUAAACUGAUAUCGAUAGUAUUGAUUUGUUAUCGGUCUAAUUGCUAGUGAUAUUAAUCGAUGUAUUAAUGUUCAAAUUAUCCUUGGAUAUUAACUGAUAGAAACGAAUAGAUUAAUCGAACGAUUAUCACGAAUGGGAAUUUGAUAUUUCAACAGAAUUUAUAGUAAUGAGUAAGCUAUCUGGUUGAUGAUAAAAAGUUUCAUCUUGUGUUAUGAAGAAUUAAUUACGUAUAGUAGCAUACCGUAAAAUAUGUUGAAAGAGUAAGGGCGAACGAGUUAGUCUUGAACAAGCAAAAGUAAGUAGUGAGGUUGGAGCGAGGUAGGCAAUUAGCAAGCAUUAGAUGAAAGCCUCAAUGUACAUAUAUAUGAAAGAAAUGAAUUUAUGAAUUCGGAGGAACACAUAAGGAUACAAAAAAGGUUUGUAAUUUCGUUGGUGAAUUGCGGAAAUAUUUAAUUCAUAUUGUUUCCUAAUAUAUCAUAAAAAGUGUAGGUUUUUUUUUUAUUUAAAAAAGAAAAUUAAGCUUUAAAUGACUGCAAUUUUCCAUUAAAUAAAAAAUAAUAAAUUCGAUUGUUAUAUCUGGGAUUCGUGACAAAUAUUUCGUCAAAGAAAAGAAAAUUUUUUGUUAAGAUAAGAAAUCUUCUAUUGUUGAGAAAUGACUUUUGUUUGUUUUUCUCUGUUCCAUUACAAUCAGUUAAAUAUCAUCGGAUUAAAGGAAUAAAAAUUAUAUAAUAUUAAUAAUUUAU
Molecule: long non-coding RNA, 4619 nt
Organism: Vespula vulgaris
Lineage: Eukaryota; Metazoa; Arthropoda; Insecta; Hymenoptera; Vespidae
Exons: 3
Source: RefSeq, a predicted model, not a curated record